RNAcentral lists this ribosomal RNA (395 nucleotides) under uncultured bacterium. Its description in RNAcentral is "bacterial SSU rRNA". It matches the Rfam family "Bacterial small subunit ribosomal RNA", at positions 505 to 898 of the family's 1533-position model. The record is from RNAcentral.
GUGUCAGCAGCCGCGGUAAUACGGAGGGUGCGAGCGUUGUUCGGAAUUACUGGGCGUAAAGAGCACGUAGGCGGAUGGGUAUGUCGAUUGUGAAAUCCCCGGGCUCAACCUGGGAACUGCAGUCGAAACUGCCUAUCUUGAAUACUUGAGAGGGUGGGGGAAUUCCUGGUGGAGAAGUGAAAUUCGUAGAUAUUAGGAGGAACACCGGAGGUGUAGACGCCUGCCUGGCAAGCUAUUGACGCUGAGGUGCGAAAGCAUGGGGAGCAAACAGGAUUAGAUACCCUGGUAGUCCAUGCCCUAAACGAUGGUUACUAGGUGUUCGGUAGAUUUACCUACUGAGUACCGAAGCUCACGCAUUAAGUAACCCGCCUGGGAAGUACGGUCGCAAGACUAAA